AUUGAACGCUGGCGGAAUGCUUUACACAUGCAAGUCGAACGGCAGCACGGGGCAACCUGGUGGCGAGUGGCGAACGGGUGAGUAAUACAUCGGAACGUGCCCAAUCGUGGGGGACAACGUAGCGAAAGUUACGCUAAUACCGCAUACGAUCUACGGAUGAAAGCGGGGGAUCGCAAGACCUCGCGCGAAUGGAGCGGCCGAUGUCAGAUUAGGUAGUUGGUGGGGUAAAGGCUCACCAAGCCAACGAUCUGUAGCUGGUCUGAGAGGACGACCAGCCACACUGGAACUGAGACACGGUCCAGACUCCUACGGGAGGCAGCAGUGGGGAAUUUUGGACAAUGGGCGCAAGCCUGAUCCAGCCAUUCCGCGUGCAGGAUGAAGGCCUU
RNAcentral lists this ribosomal RNA (386 nucleotides) under uncultured bacterium. RNAcentral describes it as "bacterial SSU rRNA". It matches the Rfam family "Bacterial small subunit ribosomal RNA", at positions 30 to 418 of the family's 1533-position model. The record is from RNAcentral.